Molecule: transfer RNA, 71 nt
Filed under: Chloroflexi bacterium 54-19
Lineage: Bacteria; Bacillati; Chloroflexota; Chloroflexia; Candidatus Chloroheliales
Also listed under: 1 other name
Description: tRNA-Ile
Rfam family: tRNA
About the family: Transfer RNA (tRNA) molecules are approximately 80 nucleotides in length. Their secondary structure includes four short double-helical elements and three loops (D, anti-codon, and T loops).
Source: RNAcentral
CGGCCUCUAGCAUAGUGGGAGUGCGCCAGUCUGAUACGCUGGCGAGGUUGGUUCGAUUCCAACGGGGCCGA